GGAUCUUUGCUUUGGACAAGAGGUCGCCACACAACCGGGUGCGGUGCGGGAAUCCAGCUGCAAAAAAAGCAGGGUUGCUGUGGACAGAGAGACAG
Long non-coding RNA from Amblyraja radiata (thorny skate), 95 nucleotides. RefSeq lists it as uncharacterized. The record is from RefSeq and is a predicted model, not a curated record. Lineage: Eukaryota; Metazoa; Chordata; Chondrichthyes; Rajiformes; Rajidae. The transcript is spliced from 4 exons.